UACGGGAGGCAGCAGUGGGGAAUAUUGCACAAUGGGCGCAAGCCUGAUGCAGCCAUGCCGCGUGUAUGAAGAAGGCCUUCGGGUUGUAAAGUACUUUCAGUCGUGAGGAAGGUGUUAAGGUUAAUAACCUUAGCAAUUGACGUUAGCGACAGAAGAAGCACCGGCUAGCUCCGUGCCAGCAGCCGCGGUAAUACGGAGGGUGCGAGCGUUAAUCGGAAUUACUGGGCGUAAAGGGCACGCAGGCGGUUAAUUAAGUUGGAUGUGAAAAUCCCCGGGCUUAACCUGGGAAUGGCAUUCAAGACUGGUUAGCUAGAGUCUUGUAGAGGGGGUAGAAUUCCAUGUGUAGCGGUGAAAUGCGUAGAGAUGUGGAGGAAUACCGGUGGCGAAGGCGGCCCCUGGGACAAAGACUGACGCUCAUGUGCGAAAGCGUGGGGAGCAAACAGGGAUUAGAUACC
RNAcentral lists this ribosomal RNA (455 nucleotides) under uncultured bacterium. RNAcentral describes it as "bacterial SSU rRNA". It matches the Rfam family "Bacterial small subunit ribosomal RNA", at positions 340 to 786 of the family's 1533-position model. The record is from RNAcentral.